UCUAAACCAGCUUUUUGGGUGAAUUUAAACAAUAACAAGUAACAUAAAACACAACAAUACCAAAUAACCAUAUAAUAUAGGCAUUUAACAAAUUUGGCUCCCCCAAUUUCUCAACAACAAUUAUAACUCCUUAAGUCCUAACUUAUUCAUCUUCACUACAGUGACCCCAAAUCCAUAAUAUAAUAGAUAAACACAAUGGAGUAACCAACAACAAAUGAUAAUUCUCAAGGAGAAAUAUAUAUAUACCUAGAGAGGUUGGUUGUUGCUUCCUUCCACUUCCAGGAGUGGUUGUUGAAGUAGGGGUGGAAUUAGCAUUGGCAGACAUUGGAGAGAGUCUCAAGGAAAC
This 346-nucleotide long non-coding RNA is filed under the name Lupinus angustifolius (narrow-leaved blue lupine). Its description in RNAcentral is "long non-coding RNA (LANG_LNC003615)". Lineage: Eukaryota; Viridiplantae; Streptophyta; Magnoliopsida; Fabales; Fabaceae. The record is from RNAcentral.